CUCGGGAGCCGGGCCGGUUCCUCGCCAGGUCCUCACUAGGGCUGAGGAGUGGGAGAGAGGCCGGGCGUUCGGGUCGCUUUUUCGGGG
RNAcentral lists this transfer RNA (87 nucleotides) under Streptomyces cirratus. Its description in RNAcentral is "tRNA-Pro". Lineage: Bacteria; Bacillati; Actinomycetota; Actinomycetes; Kitasatosporales; Streptomycetaceae. The record is from RNAcentral.